Molecule: small nuclear RNA, 106 nt
Organism: Vulpes vulpes (red fox)
Lineage: Eukaryota; Metazoa; Chordata; Mammalia; Carnivora; Canidae
Source: Ensembl
GUGUUCACUUCAGCAACACAUAUACUAUAAAUGGAAUAACACUAAAAUAUGAGCAAGGCCCCUGGGCAAGAAUGACAUGCAAAUUCGUGAAGCAUUUACUAUCUUA